AGUGAACGCUGGCGGUAGGCCUAACACAAGCAAGUCGAACGGCAGCACAGUAAGAGCUUGCUCUUACGGGUGGCGAGUGGCGGACGGGUGAGGAAUACAUCGGAAUCUACUUUUUCGUGGGGGAUAACGUAGGGAAACUUACGCUAAUACCGCAUACGACCUACGGGUGAAAGCAGGGGAUCUUCGGACCUUGCGCGAUUGAAUGAGCCGAUGUCGGAUUAGCUAGUUGGCGGGGUAAAGGCCCACCAAGGCGACGAUCCGUAGCUGGUCUGAGAGGAUGAUCAGCCACACUGGAACUGAGACACGGUCCAGACUCCUACGGGAGGCAGCAGUGGGGAAUAUUGGACAAUGGGCGCAAGCCUGAUCCAGCCAUACCGCGUGGGUGAAGAAGGCCUUCGGGUUGUAAAGCCCUUUUGUUGGGAAAGAAAAGCAGCAGGUUAAUACCCCGCUGUUCUGACGGUACCUAAAGAAUAAGCACCGGCUAACUUCGUG
This 492-nucleotide ribosomal RNA is filed under the name uncultured bacterium. RNAcentral's name for it is "partial 16S ribosomal RNA". It matches the Rfam family "Bacterial small subunit ribosomal RNA", at positions 29 to 507 of the family's 1533-position model. The record is from RNAcentral.